CUAAGCACGAAACUUGCCCCGAGAUGAGUUCUCCCUGAGACUUAGAGCCUCCUGAAGGAACGUUGAAGACGACGACGUUGAUAGGCCGGGUGUGUAAGCGCAGCGAUGCGUUGAGCUAACCGGUACUAAUGAACCGUGAGGCUUAACCUUACAACGCCGAAG
This 162-nucleotide ribosomal RNA is filed under the name Escherichia coli. RNAcentral's name for it is "partial 23S ribosomal RNA". It matches the Rfam family "Bacterial large subunit ribosomal RNA", at positions 2781 to 2925 of the family's 2925-position model. Lineage: Bacteria; Pseudomonadati; Pseudomonadota; Gammaproteobacteria; Enterobacterales; Enterobacteriaceae. The record is from RNAcentral.